CAGUCGCCGCGGUAAUACGAAGGGGGCUAGCGUUGCUCGGAAUUACUGGGCGUAAAGGGCGCGUAGGCGGCGCUCCAAGUUAGGCGUGAAAUUCCCGGGCUCAACCUGGGGACUGCGCUUAAGACUGGAGUGCUUGAGGAUGGAAGAGGGUUGUGGAAUUCCCAGUGUAGAGGUGAAAUUCGUAGAUAUUGGGAAGAACACCGGUGGCGAAGGCGGCAACCUGGUCCAUUACUGACGCUGAGGCGCGAUAGCGUGGGGAGCAAACAGGAUUAGAUACCCGUGUAGUCCCUGUCUCUUAUAC
Molecule: ribosomal RNA, 301 nt
Filed under: uncultured bacterium
Lineage: Bacteria
Description: partial 16S ribosomal RNA
Rfam family: Bacterial small subunit ribosomal RNA
Source: RNAcentral